GACGGAGGAUGCAAGUGUUAUCCGGAAUCACUGGGCGUAAAGCGUCUGUAGGUGGUUUAAUAAGUCAACUGUUAAAUCUUGAGGCUCAGCCUCAAAAUCGCAGUCGAAACUAUUAGGCUAGAGUAUAGUAGGGGUAAAGGGAAUUUCCAGUGGAGCGGUGAAAUGCGUAGAGAUUGGAAAGAACACCGAUGGCGAAGGCACUUUACUGGGCUAUUACUAACACUCAGAGACGAAAGCUAGGGUAGCAAAUGGG
This 253-nucleotide ribosomal RNA is filed under the name uncultured bacterium. RNAcentral describes it as "partial 16S ribosomal RNA". It matches the Rfam family "Bacterial small subunit ribosomal RNA", at positions 524 to 776 of the family's 1533-position model. The record is from RNAcentral.